CCUACGGGAGGCUGCAGUGAGGAAUAUUGGUCAAUGGACGAGAGUCUGAACCAGCCAAGUAGCGUGAAGGAUGACUGCCCUAUGGGUUGUAAACUUCUUUUAUAUGGGAAUAAACUGUUCCACGUGUGGGAUUUUGUAUGUACCAUAUGAAUAAGGAUCGGCUAACUCCGUGCCAGCAGCCGCGGUAAUACGGAGGAUCCGAGCGUUAUCCGGAUUUAUUGGGUUUAAAGGGAGCGUAGGUGGAUUGUUAAGUCAGUUGUGAAAGUUUGCGGCUCAACCGUAAAAUUGCAGUUGUAACUGGCAGUCUUGAGUACAGUAGAGGUGGGCGGAAUUCGUGGUGUAGCGGUGAAAUGCUUAGAUAUCACGAAGAACUCCGAUUGCGAAGGCAGUUCACUGGACUGUAACUGACACUGAGGCUCGAAAGUGUGGGUAUCAAACAGGAUUAGAUACCCCUGUAGUC
RNAcentral lists this ribosomal RNA (460 nucleotides) under uncultured bacterium. Its description in RNAcentral is "partial 16S ribosomal RNA". It matches the Rfam family "Bacterial small subunit ribosomal RNA", at positions 338 to 795 of the family's 1533-position model. The record is from RNAcentral.